AACGAACGCUGGCGGCAGGCCUAACACAUGCAAGUCGAGCGAGGACUUCGGUCCUAGCGGCGGACGGGUGAGUAACGCGUGGGAACGUGCCCUUUGCUUCGGAAUAGCCCUGGGAAACUGGGAGUAAUACCGGAUGAGCCCUUGGGGGGAAAGAUUUAUCGGCGAAGGAUCGGCCCGCGUUGGAUUAGGUAGUUGGUGGGGUAAUGGCCUACCAAGCCGACGAUCCAUAGCUGGUUUGAGAGGAUGAUCAGCCACACUGGGACUGAGACACGGCCCAGACUCCUACGGGAGGCAGCAGUGGGGAAUCUUAGACAAUGGGGGAAACCCUGAUCUAGCCAUGCCGCGUGAGCGAUGAAGGCCUUAGGGUUGUAAAGCUCUUUCAGCUGGGAAGAUAAUGACGGUACCAGCAGAAGAAGCCCCGGCUAACUCCGUG
RNAcentral lists this ribosomal RNA (433 nucleotides) under uncultured bacterium. RNAcentral describes it as "partial 16S ribosomal RNA". It matches the Rfam family "Bacterial small subunit ribosomal RNA", at positions 29 to 507 of the family's 1533-position model. The record is from RNAcentral.